This 431-nucleotide ribosomal RNA is filed under the name Onchocercidae sp. DN21519. Its description in RNAcentral is "SSU rRNA". It matches the Rfam family "Eukaryotic small subunit ribosomal RNA", at positions 65 to 486 of the family's 1831-position model. Lineage: Eukaryota; Metazoa; Nematoda; Chromadorea; Rhabditida; Onchocercidae. The record is from RNAcentral.
GCAUAUAACCUAUAAUGGUGAAACCGCGAACGGCUCAUUAUAACAGCUAUAAUGUACUUGAUGUUGAUUAUCCAACGUGGAUAACUGUGGCAAUUCUAGAGCUAAUACAUGCACCAAAGCUCCGAAUUUUAAACGAGCGCAUCUAUUAGAUUAAAACCAAUCGGAUUAUUAAUUUUAAUCCGUUAAUUGGUGACUCUGAAUAGCUAUGGCUGAUCGCAUGGUCUUGUACCGGCGACGUAUCUAUCAAGUGUCUGCCUUAUCAACUUUCGAUGGUAGUUUAUGUGCCUACCAUGGUUGUAACGGGUAACGGAGAAUAAGGGUUCGACUCCGGAGAGGGAGCCUGAGAAACGGCUACCACAUCCAAGGAAGGCAGCAGGCGCGCAAAUUACCCACUCUCAGAAUGAGGAGGUAGUGACGAAAAAUAACGAGAC